Molecule: long non-coding RNA, 1165 nt
Filed under: Homo sapiens (human)
Lineage: Eukaryota; Metazoa; Chordata; Mammalia; Primates; Hominidae
Description: non-protein coding RGMB-AS1:16
Source: RNAcentral
GUCAGCGGUCCGAGCCGAAGGCGGGGAGGGUGGAGAGAAGGCUCGUCUCUGCGCCCGGCGGCCGCCCGGUGGGUGGCUGCGUUACUGUGGCCCGGAGCCCGACAGAGAAAGGAAGGAGGAGACCUGAACAGUACAUCCGGAGAAUCCAGCAAAGCAUACUACGGCAUGAACGUGCAAGUGGACAGAAUUAAAACACAUGCCAGAAACACUAAUGGAUUCUAAACAAGAUGCAGUUUCAUUUCCUGAGCCUAUACGUGAUGUUUUUAACUGUUCUCCAGUUAAUAUGUCUCCAUUUCCAGAAAUCUAACAGGAGAAUCUCUGACUGCUUAACAGAUCACCUAAGCUUGCGAUUUGUGCAAUCCUUUCUAGAGUAAGGGCUCCCCGGCUGCUCCCCGGCCACUGUGUACCCAAAGCAGCGGCUGAAAUAGCCCGGAGUCCAACAGCUCAGCGUCAAGCAGCUCGUGGCAAACGCAGCCGCCGGUCUUGACUGCCAUCGCCCAAGGGGUUCCUCUGGGCUCUCCCGCGAGCCAACAGCCGACCUCUCUCCAGCCUAGUCUGGGAAACUCCAGCCAACCCAGGAUCCCAUUUUGUAGUCCCGGGCAGACCCGAAACCCCUGAAAGAACUCCACUCCAGAAGACGCCAGAACAAGUUCCCACGAAUUUCAUGGGCGCCCUUCACAUGAAAACCUCAGCUCCCCUAUCCUCAAGGAACGGGGAAGGGCGCCGGGGAGGGACUUCGGUGGCCAGCUGUCCCUGGGUCGUGGGCGCUGUUUGCUCUGCGGAGCGCCAGCCCUGCACACAGCGGGUGCGGGAAGCGUUGAUGGGAGGCUGGAGGGCGGGGUGAGCGUAAACUAGGAUCUAGCCGGUUCCAGGCGUGGAGAAUCAAAUGUGGUCCUAGAUCUGUAAGUUGCGAAAAGGGGCUUUUGGGAGCGUCAGAGCUUUCUCACUCCGGUCCCCCGCCGCCUUGAGGCUGGCAGAUUUAUACCCCACAGGUGGAUGGAGACCUAAACAAAACAGUCCCGGCCGCUGCCUGCCGCUCGCCCCCCACGUCCCCCGGGCCCACCGCAAACUUCAACAAAAUAAACAACUCACCACAGGCAUUCCCUUGUCUGCAGCGCGACGCUUGCCAGCUGGGAAAAUAAGCCGCAAGCCACGCGGCCGAGGC